This is a non-coding RNA of Coregonus clupeaformis (lake whitefish), 523 nucleotides long. NCBI's taxonomy places the organism in Eukaryota, Metazoa, Chordata, Actinopteri, Salmoniformes, Salmonidae. The record is from the annotation of a RefSeq genome assembly.
UGGAACUGAAGCCUGUCUGGAGUUUAGUUGUCAUGGUGAUGUCCAUACACAGUGUUUGUUGUGAUAUCAGACUGGAUCAGACACCUUCGCAGGUGAAAAUACCUGGACACUCUGUUAAAGUGUCCUGUACAAUCUCUGGUUAUUCAAUGACUAGCUGGAACAUUCACUGGAUAAGGCAGAAACCAGGGAACGGACUUGAGUGGAUUGGGAGAAUGAACACUGGUUCAGGCACAGAUGUUAUCUAUGCGGACUCCCUGAAAGGCCAGUUCACCCUGACUGAGGACGUGUCUACAAGCACACAGUUCUUAGAGGUCAAGAGUCUGAGAUCAGAGGACUCAGCUGUUUAUUAUUGUGCUCGAGAGACACAGCGACUGAAGCUGGUGAAGCAGCUGCACAAAAAACCCCUAACAACAUGGAUAGGUGGUGUACUACUUCCUCUCUUUGUGUCACACUAGAAUAAUACUGAGUAUCAUUACUGUAAAGAAUACAGCAACAAUAUCACAAAGCACUAUGCUAUAAAAGA